RNAcentral lists this long non-coding RNA (452 nucleotides) under Equus caballus (horse). Its description in RNAcentral is "lncRNA (ENSECAG00000030235.3)". The record is from RNAcentral. Lineage: Eukaryota; Metazoa; Chordata; Mammalia; Perissodactyla; Equidae.
CAUGAAUCCCAGGAGGCAGAGAUCAUCGGAAGUCAUCCAGGAAGCUGCUAUCAGAAUUCAUAUUUGAUUUCAUUUGGGUGCAGAAUUCUCACUCUGGUGAAGACUGACAGGAUCAUCUACUAAAUACAAAGGAGUUAAAAUUCUCAGAAAGAAAAAUGGAAUUUUUUUGGAAUUCAGCUAGAGACAUGGAUUUGGAAAGAGAAAGAAAAAAUUAGUCUUUGUUUGUUUGUAAUGGCCAGUUGAUAAGAGAAAAGUGAUCCUAGAAAUUAUAGUCCCUGCUACUCAGUCCUGGAGCCACUGAGGGAAAAAUACAACCGAAACUUUCAAUACCUAAUGAAUUUUCUCCAACUUACGUGAGUGCGUGUAUAACGGCAUUAAGAUUUACACUUGGAAUGUCCCCUUACAUAUUUAAUUCUAAUUAGUUCAAAUACGUUCACUUCAGCAAACAUUAA